CAGCCGCCACGGUAAUACGGAGGGUGCAAGCGUUAAUCGGAAUUACUGGGCGUGAAGCGCACGCAGGCGGUUUGUUAAGUCAGAUGUGAAAUCCCCGAGCUUAACCUGGGAACUGCAUUUGAAACUGGCAAGCUAGAGUCUUGUAGAGGGGGGUAGAAUUCCAGGUGUAGUGGUGAAAUGCGUAGAGAUCUGGAGGAAUACCGGUGGCGAAGGCGGCCAUCUUGGACAACAUUGACGCUGAGGCACGAAAGCGUGGGGAGCAAACAGGAUUAGAUACCCCUGUAGUCCCUGUCUCUUAUAC
This 301-nucleotide ribosomal RNA is filed under the name uncultured bacterium. Its description in RNAcentral is "partial 16S ribosomal RNA". It matches the Rfam family "Bacterial small subunit ribosomal RNA", at positions 509 to 807 of the family's 1533-position model. The record is from RNAcentral.